This 368-nucleotide ribosomal RNA is filed under the name Staphylococcus aureus. Its description in RNAcentral is "bacterial SSU rRNA". It matches the Rfam family "Bacterial small subunit ribosomal RNA", at positions 1 to 357 of the family's 1533-position model. Lineage: Bacteria; Bacillati; Bacillota; Bacilli; Caryophanales; Staphylococcaceae. The record is from RNAcentral.
UUUUAUGGAGAGUUUGAUCCUGGCUCAGGAUGAACGCUGGCGGCGUGCCUAAUACAUGCAAGUCGAGCGAACGGACGAGAAGCUUGCUUCUCUGAUGUUAGCGGCGGACGGGUGAGUAACACGUGGAUAACCUACCUAUAAGACUGGGAUAACUUCGGGAAACCGGAGCUAAUACCGGAUAAUAUUUUGAACCGCAUGGUUCAAAAGUGAAAGACGGUCUUGCUGUCACUUAUAGAUGGAUCCGCGCUGCAUUAGCUAGUUGGUAAGGUAACGGCUUACCAAGGCAACGAUGCAUAGCCGACCUGAGAGGGUGAUCGGCCACACUGGAACUGAGACACGGUCCAGACUCCUACGGGAGGCAGCAGUAG